Non-coding RNA from Salvelinus sp. IW2-2015, 1252 nucleotides. The record is from RefSeq and is a predicted model, not a curated record. NCBI's taxonomy places the organism in Eukaryota, Metazoa, Chordata, Actinopteri, Salmoniformes, Salmonidae.
CUGUGGGAAGCAUUGGAGUCAACAUGAGCCAGCAGGCCAGCAUCCCUGUGGAAUGUUUUGGACACCUUGUAGAGUCRAUGCCCAGACGAAUUGAGUCUGUGCUAAGGGCAAAAGGGGUUGCAACUCAAUAUUAGGAUGGUGUUCCUAAUGUUUUAUACACUCAGUGUAUAUGCGCUCCAAAAUAGCACUGAAAAUGUAACUUUGUAUAAUCCUUGUAAUAAUAACAGUGAUAGCUAMUAUUUCUCAGAUGUCGSCUACAUURUCUGCCUUCCAUUCCCCAGCUGGUAGGUUAUGUUUGCGUCCCAAAUGGCACCUUAUUCUAUAUUUAGUGCACUCCUUUUUUGUGUUUUUUGGUAUUUUAUUAGGAUCCCCUUUUAGCUGUUGCCAACCUGGAGCCAGUCUUCCAGCGGCUACUCUUCCUCUUUAGACCAGGGCUCUGCCUUCCAUUCCCCAGCUGGUAGAUUCUGUUUGCGUCCAAGGGCUCUGGUGUGAAGUGGAAGGACUAUAUAGGGAAUAGGAUGUCAGUUGGGGUGAAGGUGUUAGGAAGGCAGGCUGUUAUGGUAUUGUGAUUAAUGAAUGCUGUCUAAGGAGUGAUGAUGUGAUAUGUCCCAGUUACCAGGAAGUGAUGUGUUAUUUUUCUGUCUCUCUAUAAUCCUGMGUCUGUGACAAGGGAAGGAAACCAAAGCUCUGAAUGAAUGUAUUCUAGAAACAUGUAAGCGCCACCAACAAUGAGGUAGUCCUGCAAAAACGUAAGAGUAGCAAGCUUUCAGAAACCCAUCAGAAAUAAAAGUAUCAUAUUCAGAGAAAUGUACACAUUUUUAUUUACGUACGAGAGUACAAUUAGAGUAAAAUGGUUCCCAGGAGUAGAAUGUUUUAUGAAGGUCUAUCUAUCAAAUGAUUAGGACACACUAGACAUUUUUCCCUGACUCAUAGUUUGUCAUUUGAAUGAGGCUCUUUUAGUUAAGUCUACUCCAGUAUUUGUCUCAGGUAGCCAGUCUAAAGAGCAGGGAUGGAAAUUAAUCUAGGCCAAUAGUAAAAAUUGUUCUACUAGACCAGCUGGCUAGUACCCAAAAUCCUUAAGUUUCAUGCCUGCUAAAGAAGGACCCUUUUCACAAUGUUCUGUAAUUGUUUUGUUUAUCAACUARAAGAGUCCGUUGUUUUCCUCUUCAUCUUUGAACAUCAUUGUAAACAGGGGACUUCAGAUCAUUUUACUAUGUACAGUAACAUUUGAUAAAUUCACAAAAACAAUAUA